CCUACGGGAGGCAGCAGUGGGGAAUAUUGCACAAUGGGCGAAAGCCUGAUGCAGCAACGCCGCGUGAAGGAAGAAGGCCUUCGGGUCGUAAACUUCUGUCCUUGGGGAAGAAGAACUGACGGUACCCAAGGAGGAAGCCCCGGCUAACUACGUGCCAGCAGCCGCGGUAAUACGUAGGGGGCAAGCGUUAUCCGGAAUUAUUGGGCGUAAAGAGUACGUAGGUGGCAACCUAAGCGCAGGGUUUAAGGCAAUGGCUCAACCAUUGUUCGCCCUGCGAACUGGGAUGCUUGAGUGCAGGAGAGGAAAGCGGAAUUCCUAGUGUAGCGGUGAAAUGCGUAGAUAUUAGGAGGAACACCAGUGGCGAAGGCGGCUUUCUGGACUGUAACUGACACUGAGGUACGAAAGCGUGGGGAGCAAACAGGAUUAGAUACCCUUGUAGUC
This 441-nucleotide ribosomal RNA is filed under the name uncultured bacterium. RNAcentral's name for it is "partial 16S ribosomal RNA". It matches the Rfam family "Bacterial small subunit ribosomal RNA", at positions 338 to 795 of the family's 1533-position model. The record is from RNAcentral.